This 429-nucleotide ribosomal RNA is filed under the name Verrucomicrobiota bacterium. RNAcentral describes it as "Verrucomicrobia bacterium partial 16S ribosomal RNA". It matches the Rfam family "Bacterial small subunit ribosomal RNA", at positions 355 to 776 of the family's 1533-position model. The record is from RNAcentral. Lineage: Bacteria; Pseudomonadati; Verrucomicrobiota.
UAGGGAAUCUUCCGCAAUGGACGAAAGUCUGACGGAGCAACGCCGCGUGAGUGAAGAAGGAUUUCGGUUCGUAAAACUCUGUUGUUAGGGAAGAAAAAAUGUAUAGUAACUAUAUACAAAAGAGACGGUACCUAACCAGAAAGCCACGGCUAACUACGUGCCAGCAGCCGCGGUAAUACGUAGGUGGCAAGCGUUGUCCGGAAUUAUUGGGCGUAAAGCGCGCGCAGGUGGUUUAGAAAGUCUGAUGUGAAAGCCCACGGCUCAACCGUGGAGGGUCAUUGGAAACUAAUAAACUUGAGUGCAGGAGAGAAAAGUGGAAUUCCUAGUGUAGCGGUGAAAUGCGUAGAGAUUAGGAGGAACACCGGUGGCGAAAGCGGCUUUUUGGCCUGCAACUGACACUGAGGCGCGAAAACGUGGGGAGCAAACAGG